UUACUACUUGGAUACGUGGUAAUUCUAGAGCUAAUACAUGCUAAAAAUCCCGACUUACGGAGGGAUGUAUUAUUAGAUUAAAAACCAAUGCCCUUCGGGGCUCUUGGUGAUUCAUAAUAACUUUUCGAAUCGCAUGGCCUUGCGCCGGCGAUGGUUCAUUCAAAUUUCUGCCCUAUCAACUUUCGAUGGCAGGGUAUUGGCCUGCCAUGGUUACAACGGGUAACGGAGGGUUAGGGCUCGACCCCGGAGAAGGAGCCUGAGAAACGGCUACUACAUCCAAGGAAGGCAGCAGGCGCGCAAAUUACCCCAAUCCCGACUCGGGGAGGUAGUGACAAUAAAUACUGAUACAGGGCUCUUUUGGGUCUUGUAAUUGGAAUGAGUACAAUUUAAAUCCCUUAACGAGGAACAAUUGGAGGGCAAGUCUGGUGCCAGCAGCCGCGGUAAUUCCAGCUCCAAUAGCGUAUAUUAAAGUUGUUGCAGUUAAAAAGCUCGUAGUUGAACCUUGGGCCUGGCUGGCCGGUCCGCCUCACCGCGUGCACUGGUUCGGCCGGGCCUUUCCCUCUGGGGAACCUCAUGCCCUUCACUGGGUGUGCUGGGGAACCAGGACUUUUACUGUGAAAAAAUUAGAGUGUUCAAAGCAGGCCUAUGCUCGAAUACAUUAGCAUGGAAUAAUAGAAUAGGACGUGUGGUUCUAUUUUGUUGGUUUCUAGGACCGCCGUAAUGAUUAAUAGGGACAGUCGGGGGCAUCAGUAUUCAAUUGUCAGAGGUGAAAUUCUUGGAUUUAUUGAAGACUAACUACUGCGAAAGCAUUUGCCAAGGAUGUUUUCAUUAAUCAGGAACGAAAGUUAGGGGAUCGAAGACGAUCAGAUACCGUCGUAGUCUUAACCAUAAACUAUGCCGACUAGGGAUCGGACGGUGUUAUUUUUUGACCCGUUCGGCACCUUACGAGAAAUCAAAGUCUUUGGGU
Molecule: ribosomal RNA, 967 nt
Filed under: Ciliosporella italica
Lineage: Eukaryota; Fungi; Ascomycota; Sordariomycetes; Xylariales; Microdochiaceae
Description: SSU rRNA
Rfam family: Eukaryotic small subunit ribosomal RNA
Source: RNAcentral